Molecule: ribosomal RNA, 1023 nt
Filed under: uncultured Psychrobacter sp.
Lineage: Bacteria; Pseudomonadati; Pseudomonadota; Gammaproteobacteria; Moraxellales; Moraxellaceae
Description: bacterial SSU rRNA
Rfam family: Bacterial small subunit ribosomal RNA
Source: RNAcentral
UAACACAUGCAAGUCGAGCGGAAACGAUGAUAGCUUGCUAUCAGGCGUCGAGCGGCGGACGGGUGAGUAAUACUUAGGAAUCUACCUAGUAGUGGGGGAUAGCUCGGGGAAACUCGAAUUAAUACCGCAUACGACCUACGGGAGAAAGGGGGCAACUUGUUGCUCUCGCUAUUAGAUGAGCCUAAGUCGGAUUAGCUAGAUGGUGGGGUAAAGGCCUACCAUGGCGACGAUCUGUAGCUGGUCUGAGAGGAUGAUCAGCCACACCGGGACUGAGACACGGCCCGGACUCCUACGGGAGGCAGCAGUGGGGAAUAUUGGACAAUGGGGGCAACCCUGAUCCAGCCAUGCCGCGUGUGUGAAGAAGGCCUUUUGGUUGUAAAGCACUUUAAGCAGUGAAGAAGACUCCAUGGUUAAUACCCAUGGACGAUGACAUUAGCUGCAGAAUAAGCACCGACUAACUCUGUGCCAGCAGCCGCGGUAAUACAGAGGGUGCAAGCGUUAAUCGGAAUUACUGGGCGUAAAGCGAGCGUAGGUGGCUUGAUAAGUCAGAUGUGAAAUCCCCGGGCUUAACCUGGGAACUGCAUCUGAUACUGUUAGGCUAGAAUAGGUGAGAGGAAGGUAGAAUUCCAGGUGUAGCGGUGAAAUGCGUAGAGAUCUGGAGGAAUACCGAUGGCGAAGGCAGCCUUCUGGCAUCAUAUUGACACUGAGGUUCGAAAGCGUGGGUAGCAAACAGGAUUAGAUACCCUGGUAGUCCACGCCGUAAACGAUGUCUACUAGUCGUUGGGUCCCUUGAGGACUUAGUGACGCAGCUAACGCAAUAAGUAGACCGCCUGGGGAGUACGCCGCAAGGUUAAAACUCAAAUGAAUUGACGGGGCCCGCACAAGCGUUGAGCAUGUCUUUAAUUCGAUGCACGCGAAGACCUACUUGUCUGGACAUAUCUAGAAUCUGCAAGAUGCGGGAAUGCCUCGAAUAGAAUACGUGCUGCAUGCCUGUCGUCAGCUCGGUCGGAGAUGUUGGUAAGC